UCCCAAUAAUAUUAAGAAAAGGAAAAUAGC
Molecule: non-coding RNA, 30 nt
Filed under: Mus musculus (house mouse)
Lineage: Eukaryota; Metazoa; Chordata; Mammalia; Rodentia; Muridae
Source: RNAcentral